RNAcentral lists this ribosomal RNA (496 nucleotides) under uncultured bacterium. RNAcentral's name for it is "partial 16S ribosomal RNA". It matches the Rfam family "Bacterial small subunit ribosomal RNA", at positions 29 to 507 of the family's 1533-position model. The record is from RNAcentral.
AUGAACGCUGGCGGCGUGCCUAAUACAUGCAAGUCGAGCGCACAGAUGAGGAGCUUGCUCCUCUGACGUUAGCGGCGGACGGGUGAGUAACACGUGGAUAACCUACCUAUAAGACUGGGAUAACUUCGGGAAACCGGAGCUAAUACCGGAUAAUAUAUUGAACCGCAUGGUUCAAUAGUGAAAGACGGUUUUGCUGUCACUUAUAGAUGGAUCCGCGCCGCAUUAGCUAGUUGGUAAGGUAACGGCUUACCAAGGCGACGAUGUGUAGCCGACCUGAGAGGGUGAUCGGCCACACUGGAACUGAGACACGGUCCAGACUCCUACGGGAGGCAGCAGUAGGGAAUCUUCCGCAAUGGGCGAAAGCCUGACGGAGCAACGCCGCGUGAGUGAUGAAGGUCUUCGGAUCGUAAAACUCUGUUAUUAGGGAAGAACAAAUGUGUAAGUAACUAUGCACGUCUUGACGGUACCUAAUCAGAAAGCCACGGCUAACUACGUG